GCGAUACCUAUCUCAUGGUCUACUGAGCUUAUUUCUCUGCCCAGCUUUCACAUUUAGUGAAAGUGAAACUAUCAGGAAUCACAUGUUCUGUAUGGUUUCAUCACAUUAAUAUCUACUGAGAUUUAGAAAGUUAUAUUUUAUCCGCGUUCAUUAUGCUACUUAAACAAAGAUCAUAACGACGUUAACAUUCAAAAACACUCACUCAAAGAGUAACCAAACGAUGAUGUCUCUCAACUCUCAGCACAAAGCUUAGGCGCCAAUGUUCUCAAUUUCAGCACCUCUGUCCAUCCUCUUGACAAUACCAGCAAUAACCUUUCCAGGUCCUAAUUCGUAGCUCUUCUUUAGCCCUUUCGUUAGGAGUGUUUUUAUUGUGGUCUCCCAUUGAACUGGUGAAGUCACCUGGCUAGCUAAUAUUUUCUUAAUUGUGUCUGGAUCUGCAUGUGGUUGUGCAUCAACAUUUGAUAUUACUGGUAUUCUUGGAGUUCUGAUCUCUGUUGCACUCAAAGCAGCUUCUAAUCGUGAAACAGCUGGAUUCAUAAAACUUGUGUGAAAAGCUCCAGCAACAGCUAGACGUACCGUCAUUCGUGCUUUGAACGAUUUUGCUUUUGCUUCUACUGCUUCAAUUCCUUUAACACCUCCAGAGACUGCGUAAUUUCCGGGACAUAAGAAAUUUGCAAUCUGAACUUUGUUGGCUUCAUCAACUUCCUCAUUAGCUGCAUCACACAGUUUCUGAACCUUGUCGGAAUCCAGUCCGAUUAUACUAACCAUCGCACUCUUUGCAGCAUCAGCAGCAUCCUGCAUAGCUUCUCCUCUAAGCUUAACCAGCUUAAGUCCAUCCUCGAAACUGAAAGCUCCAGUAAAUGCCAGAGCAGUGUAUUCACCCAAGCUCAGACCACAUGUGACGUCAACCGAAUCAAUUAUUUGCUGACCCCCUUCACGAGCACGGAGUAUCUCUACUGCAGCUAAGCUAGUGACAUAGAUGGCUGGCUGGCUUAGAACAGUGGAGUCUAACUUCUCUUUUGGACCAUUAAUACAAAUAUCCAAAAGGUCAAACCCCAUGAUUUCAUUUGCUCUCUUGUAUAAUUCAGCUGCAGCAGGCACCUUCUGAGCCUCUGCACCCAUUCCAACAGCUUGUGCCCCCUGUCCAGGGAAGAGAAAAGCAUUGGUAGGCUUGUAAUCGGCGAACAGAGCAUCAUCGACGGCGGCAAUUUGUGAUCCAACGGAAAUGCUACUCAUGAAAACCCUAGACUUAUCCAAUUUCAAUGGACUAAAUCUUCGAAAUCCAUUCGAAGAAAUGGAAGGAAGAAUCAAUGAAGAUGAGCAGCUCAUUGUUCAGUUAGGGAGAACGAAGUAAUGGAGGAGCGACGGCGACGGCGACGGCGACGG
RNAcentral lists this unclassified non-coding RNA (1386 nucleotides) under Hevea brasiliensis (rubber tree). The record is from RNAcentral. Lineage: Eukaryota; Viridiplantae; Streptophyta; Magnoliopsida; Malpighiales; Euphorbiaceae.